Molecule: ribosomal RNA, 499 nt
Filed under: uncultured bacterium
Lineage: Bacteria
Description: bacterial SSU rRNA
Rfam family: Bacterial small subunit ribosomal RNA
Source: RNAcentral
AAAUGAAUAGACGGGGGCCCGCACAAGCGGUGGAGCAUGUGGUUUAAUUCGACGCAACGCGAAGAACCUUACCAGGUCUUGACAUCCUCUGACAACCCAAGAGACUGGGCUUUCCGCCUUCGGGUGGACAGAGAGACAGGUGGUGCAUGGUUGUCGUCAGCUCGUGUCGUGAGAUGUUGGGUUAAGUCCCGCAACGAGCGCAACCCUUAUUCUUAGUUGCCAUCAGGUAGAGCUGGGCACUCUAAGGAGACUGCCGGUGACAAACCGGAGGAAGGUGGGGAUGACGUCAAAUCAUCAUGCCCCUUAUGACCUGGGCUACACACGUGCUACAAUGGCCUGUACAGAGGGUAGCGAAGCCGUGAGGUGGAGCCAAUCCCAAAAAGCAGGUCUCAGUUCGGAUUGUAGGCUGCAACUCGCCUACAUGAAGUAGGAAUCGCUAGUAAUCGCAGGUCAGCAUACUGCGGUGAAUACGUUCCCGGGCCUUGUACACACCGCCCGU